RNAcentral lists this long non-coding RNA (2397 nucleotides) under Homo sapiens (human). RNAcentral describes it as "HSALNT0021463". The record is from RNAcentral. Lineage: Eukaryota; Metazoa; Chordata; Mammalia; Primates; Hominidae.
UGCCCAUUAAGGACUUUAGUACAAAACUACCAUCUUCUAUAGGUCAUUAUAUCGUUUUUGUUUUUGAGACAGAGUCUCACUCUGCCACACACAUUGCAGUGCAGUGGCGCAGUCUUGGUUCACUGCACCCUCCCUGUCCCAGGCUCAAAUCGUCCUCCCACCUCAGCCUUCCAAGUAGCCAGGAAUACAGUCAAGGGAGAAGCAGUGAUGUUUUAGUAUCCAGAAAGUGGAAAUAACCCAAAUGCCCAUCAACAGCAGAAUGAAAUUGUACUAUAUUCACACCAUGGAAUAUUGUAUAGCAAAGAGAAUGAAUGAACUAUUAACAGAAAAGACAUGGACAAAUCUCAUAAACAUGAUGCUGAAAGAAACCACAGUCAAAAAAGAAGAUGCUUCCCAACCUUUUGCAGACCAUGGCAUACGCAGAAAAUGACAACAUCGGAAUGGCACACUGGCAUACCAGUUGGGGAUCCUUGCAGUCAAUGCUGACUGGACUCAUCCUUCAGCCGCCCCCAAGAAGAGAGAGAUCAAUACCUUGGCACAUCUGUGGGAAAGCUCCCAUUAGAGAGUGUGGGGAAGACACAGGCCUCCACAACACAUUUCAGACUAGUGUUUACCUACACUUGCCUGUGUGGAAAUCAGAAGAUUAAAGGAAUGCGAUGUGAUCUUUUUGUAAUUUCCCCACUUGGGUCAAGGGAAAAGCUGGUCAAGAGUAAACCAUUAAUUCAUCCCCCUGCAGGCCCCCCAAUCUUCCCUAGAAUUCUGGGUUAAUGAUUCUGAGGUUGUUUUCCUCACAGAGCCAAUUCAUAUCUAAUCUUUGGCAUGUUCCCCCCUUUAUUAAGAAUAACUUGACUCACCCCAUUAAUUCCUCAUCCUGGGGUCACGAGCCUUGUUUUGCAGAAGGAAAUGGUGGCUGUGUGUAUGUCUUGGGCCUUCUUUCUUUCUCAAACCCCUUUCUUUCAUGGAUUCAUGCCUACAAUUCCCUCUGUGGACAGAAGAGACCUCUCCUUACCUGCAUAAUGAAAUGUGUGACUUUUCUCAAAAGUAGCUUUAGGAAUUAACUGUGGAGGUCCAAGUAGCAAGGAUGCUGUGACCUAACUCGUUACCCCCUCACGUGUGGUUUGGAAUCCCAGCAGAAAAAAUUUCCUGAAGAUCUGGUACGGAGAAACCAUUCUGGGCCUGGCUUUUAAAUGUUUUAUUAGCAGCUGGGCGAGGACUGGGCUGCAAAGAGAUGCAGCCCCCGUCAGAAGCGAUCCCUGUUGGGGAGCAAGGCCUGGAAUUCCAGGAGGGAGGUCUGUUUAUAGCUGAGGCAGAGGCUGGGGAGCGAAGCCUGGGAGCCAGACAUGGCUUAAGGGUGGUCUGGACACUCUUGAGAUAAGGCCAACUAAGGACUAUGAGCUCAUUGAAGUUCCAAAGCCAACUCACAGCAGCUCACCACCAGACAUGUCCCCUGCCCCCACAUUCCCUCCUCUCAAUCCAGGAAUUUUGGUGCUCAUCUCUAUAAAGUUUUAGACCAUGGUGGUAGGAACCUGGUAAGUCUCAGGUUCUUGCAUUGCCCGAUUCUCCUUGGAUUUGCUGGGUUUGCCUCCUUCCCAUGUCUCAGACAGGGCUUUGCAUAAAGAAGUGGGCUGGUAGAUCUGCAAAGGUCCCUCUGUGUGACUGGAGCAAGUUACCCUCUUGAGCCUCAGUGUCCUCUUCUGUAAAAUAGGGAUAUCAUUCUUUCUUUCCCAAGGCUUUUGGUAAUAAUGUCAUUCUCAUGUGAUUCUUAACAAAAUGGGCCUUUCAGACUUAGAUCACUUUUGUGCAUGCAUAAAAAUGAAAGCAUUGAGGAGAAGGAAUUGGUGAAUAUAUGUCUGGAGCAAUAACUUCAUCAGAACUGCCACGGUGGUUGUAGGACCAUUCUGAUUCCAGAGGUAUUAAAAUGCAAAACACAAUGUUGAAAUGCAAAACCCAACAAAAUAAUAAACAGCCUUGUACCUACCGCCUCCCUUAAGAACUAAAACAAUUCCCAACACCACUGAAAGACUGUGUUCACCUCCUUGAUCCAAUCUCUUGCCUUUCCACCCCAGAGAAAACCACUGUCCUGAAUUUUUUCCCACUCCCUUGGUUUUGUUUUACCAAACAUGUAUCCAAUAUGUAACAUAUUAUUUGUAUUUGAUCUUGUUUUUGAAUUGUCCUGUAGGUAGAAUUAUAUCUUAUUCUGCAAUUUGCUUUUUAAAGUUUUUGAAAGAGCAAAACUUAUCUAUGCUAAUACGCUAAUGUGUGUAGCUGCCAUUUAUUUGUCACUGCAUAUACCCCUCUCAAUUCUGUUGAUGGAAAUUUAGGCAGUUUCCAGUAUUAUUUUGCUACAAACAUUCUCAUGGCUGUCUCCUGCAACAUGUGUGUUUCUUGGGAGUAUAC